Molecule: ribosomal RNA, 162 nt
Filed under: uncultured bacterium
Lineage: Bacteria
Description: partial 16S rRNA
Rfam family: Bacterial small subunit ribosomal RNA
Source: RNAcentral
GGAAUCUUCCACAAUGGGCGCAAGCCUGAUGGGGCAACGCCGCGUGAGUGAAGAAGGUCUUCGGAUCGUAAAACUCUGUUGUAAGAGAAGAACGUGUGUGAGAGUGGAAAGUUCACACAGUGACGGUAACUUACCAGAAAGGGACGGCUAACUACGUGCCAG